GCCGUCGCGUGAGGAGUUUUCACUCUUCUCUGUGUCAGAGGUUAUUUAUACAUAUAGGCUAUUAUACAUACUUUAAAAAUAUAAGUUAUUUCAGUGAUGCAAAUCAGAAUUUUCAUCAGCUGUUACUCCAGUUUUCAGAGUCAUGAUCCUUAAAAAAAAUAAUUCUAAUAUAUUGAUUUAUUACCAGCGCUGGAAACAGUUUUGCUGCUUAAUAUUUUUUGGAACCUGUGACAUUUUGUUUAGGAUUCUUUCAUGAAUAGAAAGCUAAAGAGAACAUCACUAAUAGUUAAUCAACAUACUAAAAUGAUUUCGGAAGGAUUAUGUGACACUGAAGACUGGAAUACAGACUGAUGAAAUAUAUAUAUUUUGCUUUCAUUUAAAAACAACAGAACUGCUUUGAGACCCAGCUGAGGUUGUGAUGAUGCUCUGCACCACUAGAGGGAGAACAUGACAAGACCAAAUCAAGAGUCACCUUGACCAGCUGAAUAAAUGAAAGUAAAAGAAAGGAUAACAUUUUGAGGGUUUAAACCUGUGCCUGGACACUUAAGUGGCAGCAUAUUGUGGUCUGCAGUUUUUGAGACAAAAGAGCAGGAAGGCAGUGUUUCAAAAAUGAGUUCCCAUGAGAAAAGAGAGAAUGAAGACACUAUGUCUGAAAUGAGAUCUCCUUCUCCCAGAUCAAGCUGUGCAUCUUUGUCUGAUAAUUCCAUAUACAAGCUGCCCCCUGAAAUCAGUGAUGCAACAGAGACCUCCAGUGACUGCAGAAAAAACAGGAAGAAGAGAUCAAAAUCUCCAGAACCCAGCGGUGUGUCUAUGAAUAGUACAAGAUCCAUGGAUUUUGCCAUUUCAUUCAAUGAUGGAACAGUGACCUCUUCCCCACAGUUAGUAUAAAUAUUUAGUUGCUGAUUUACUGUAAUUUACCUUGAUUAAAUAAUGGUUUCAGAAACCCAAUAAACACUUAAUGUUCUCCA
Cyprinus carpio (common carp) is the source of this 968-nucleotide long non-coding RNA. The record is from Ensembl. Lineage: Eukaryota; Metazoa; Chordata; Actinopteri; Cypriniformes; Cyprinidae.